UUCCGGUUGAUCCCGCCGGACCUGACUGCUAUCGGAUUGAUACUAAGCCAUGCGAGUCUUUGUAGUAAUACAAGGCAUACGGCUCAGUAACGCGUAGUCAACCUACCCUAUGGACAAGAAUAAUCUCGGGAAACUGAGCAUAAUUCUUGAUAGAUCAUAAUGCCUGGAAUGGUAUAUGGUUAAAAUGAUUCGUCGCCAUAGGAUGGGACUGCGGCCUAUCAGCUUGUUGGUGAGGUAAUGGCCCACCAAGGCGAUUACAGGUACGGGCUCUGAGAGGAGAAGCCCGGAGAUGGGUACUGAGACAAGGACCCAGGCCCUAUGGGGCGCAGCAGGCGAGAAAACUUUGCAAUGUGCGAAAGCACGACAAGGUUAGUCCGAGUGAUUUCUGCUAAAGAGAUCUUUUGCUAGUUAUAAAACCACUAGUGAAUAAGGGGUGGGCAAGUUCUGGUGUCAGCCGCCGCGGUAAAACCAGCACCUCAAGUGGUCAGGAUGAUUAUUGGGCCUAAAGCAUCCGUAGCCGGCUCUGUAAGUUUUCGGUUAAAUCUAUGCGCUCAACGUAUGGGCUGCCGAAAAUACUGCAGAGAUAGGGAGUGGGAGAGGUAGACGGUACUCGGUAGGAAGGGGUAAAAUCCUUUGAUCUAUCGAUGACCACCUGUGGCGAAGGCGGUCUACCAGAACACGUUCGACGGUGAGGGAUGAAAGCUGGGGGAGCAAACCGGAUUAGAUACCCGGGUAGUCCCAGCCGUAAACGAUGCAGACUCGAUGAUGCAUUGGCAUAUAGCCAGUGCAGUGUCGCAGGGAAGCCGUUAAGUCUGCCGCCUGGGAAGUACGUACGCAAGUAUGAAACUUAAAGGAAUUGGCGGGGGAGCACCACAAGGGGUGAAGCCUGCGGUUCAAUUGGAUUCAACGCCGGG
RNAcentral lists this ribosomal RNA (914 nucleotides) under uncultured marine archaeon. RNAcentral's name for it is "bacterial SSU rRNA". It matches the Rfam family "Archaeal small subunit ribosomal RNA", at positions 1 to 922 of the family's 1478-position model. The record is from RNAcentral.